UACGUAGGGGGCGAGCGUUGUCCGGAAUCAUUGGGCGUAAAGCGCGUGUAGGCGGCUCGGUAAGUCUGCUGUGAAAGUCCAGGGCUCAACCCUGGGAUGCCGGUGGAUACUGUCGAGCUCGAGUCCGGAAGAGGCGAGUGGAAUUCCUGGUGUAGCGGUGAAAUGCGCAGAUAUCAGGAGGAACACCGGUGGCGAAGGCGGGUCUCUGGGCCGAAACUGACGCUGAGGAGCGAAAGCGUGGGGAGCAAACAGG
This 253-nucleotide ribosomal RNA is filed under the name uncultured bacterium. RNAcentral describes it as "partial 16S ribosomal RNA". It matches the Rfam family "Bacterial small subunit ribosomal RNA", at positions 524 to 776 of the family's 1533-position model. The record is from RNAcentral.